AUAAGAAUAGAAUAAAUAGCGCAUUUCUAUAAAAUGUUUAACCUAGCUACACAUUUUGAACACAUUACACACAUGAACACUUUCAUGUUGUGGAUCAUUUAUUCAGUAUGUUGAAAUACAUGACUUGCAUUAAAAGUUCUUGCAUUAGAACAUUUAUGUAUCAUAUUUGAAGAGAAUAAUAUGUUUAUUCAGGUCGGCUCUAUCACUUCAAGCCAUACAAUUAUACACUGUGCAAAAUAGGAGGUAGAAAUUAUAGCAACAUUUUUAACACAGCUCAGUGCUUCUGUGUGUGUGUGUGUGUGGUUGUGUGUCUGUGUGUGUGUGUGUGUGUGUGUGUGUUCGCAUAUGUGUAUCUGUGUGUUGUGUUUAAAUCACUUACAUACAUAAUUGUUUGUAUAUUCAAAACUUAAAGUCUUCACAAUAUCGCCAUUGAGUGUAUAACUCUUGUCUGACUGGGUUGAGGUUAGCCAGCUUUCUAUUCCAAUCCAGACAGUAUGUCCUCUAAGAAUACUGCACGCUUUAUGUCGUCCAACCUCCAGUAUCAGACUAUAAUAUCCAGAUUCUCAUAGUUCCCACUAAGUCUUGGUGGAACUACCAUCCUGAAUAUCUGAUCCCCAACAUCUAUACAAACGUAUCUGUACAUUUAUUGCAAGAAUCUCUUUAGUGCUUUGGGAAUCAUACUGAGGUGUAAUUGAUCAGACAUAACCGUUCAGCCAGAGCCAGACACAUCACAGAGUUCAUGGAUGAUAGUUAGUUGGAACCCAGUAUAUCUACGGCUCUGGGUUCAACAGCACAACAUUGAUCCAUCCCCUUCACUAUACAUUAACACAUUUCCAAAGGCUCAGAGCAACUAGGUUUUGGAUGCAAGAGAGAGAGAGAAAGGUAAGAAGCAUUGCCAAAACAUGCAGCUAAAGUCAUUCUUAGGGGAAGGUUAGUUAUUUUGUAGGAUUUGAUACACAGGGAGGGAAGUUGUAGUAUUUGAACAAGGUUCCUGUUUCAUUCGGAGUACAUUAUGGGGGGUUGUACCAUUACAUACAAAUCAAAUCGCUAUGUCCAAGGUUAUCUCAGAGACAGGAAAUGCCGAGUUUGGGAGUAUGAUGUCUUAGACCGGUGUAAUAAGAGUCAGUUUUGAGUUUGUCGUAGAUGGUGUGUUAGUUUUAAGUUUGGGGUAGAUGGUGUGUUAGUUUUGAGUUUGGGGUAGAUGGUGUGUUAGUUUUGAGUUUGGGGUAGAUGGUGUGUUAGUUUUGAGUUUUGGGUAUAUGGUGUGUUAGUUUUGAGUUUGGGGUAGAUGGUGUGUUAGUUUUGAGUUUAGUUUAGGUUAGAUGGUGUGUGAGUUUUGAGUUUGGGGUAGAUGGUGUGUUAGUUUUGAGUUUGGGGUAUAUGGUGUGUGAGUUUUGAGUUUGGGGUAGAUGGUGUGUGAGUUUUGAGUUUGGGGUAGAUGGUGUGUGAGUUUUGAGUCUGGGGUAGAUGGUGUGUGAGUUUUGAGUUUGGGGUAGAUGGUGUGUGAGUUUUGAGUUUGGGGUAGAUGGUGUGUGAGUUUUGAGUUUGGGGUAGAUGGUGUGUGAGUUUUGAGUCUGGGGUAGAUGGUGUGUGAGUUUUGAGUUUGGGGUAGAUGGUGUGUGAGUUUUGAGUCUGGGGUAGAUGGUGUGUGAGUUUUGAGUUUGGGGUAGAUGGUGUGUGAGUUUUGAGUUUGGGGUAGAUGGUGUGUGAGUUUUGAGUUUGGGGUAGAUGGUGUGUGAGUUUUGAGUCUGGGGUAGAUGGUGUGUGAGUUUUGAGUUUGAGGCACCUUUCUUCCGAAAGCAGAUUGGAGAUGGACUAGGUAAGGGGUGUUGAGGAUUACAUGUUGAUUUUACCUCAAGAAAAUGAACCACAAAAAAAGACUAAUAAAGAUGUAAGUUUGUAAACAUAUGGCGACACUAGCAGGCCAUUAAACUUUCACUGUCAGUGGGCAAAACGAGUGUACAUUUUUCUGUACAUUUUACAGUGUCAUCAGGAGAAAAGGAAGGUUAACCAUUUCACGAGUGGAAGACAAAAAGGUGAAUUUCAUGAACACUUAAAGUGAGUUUCGCUCCGGAUGAAGAGCUGGACAAAUGAACGUACAUUUGAGUUUUGAAAAAGAGUGAGCAGUUUAAUGAGUGUAUGCGGUUCGUGUAAGAGUGAUGUUCACAGCUCCAGAAAAGUGUUUACCUUAGACACAGAUCUAGGAUCAGCUUAUGCUCCACUGAUCCUAACCUUAACCAUUAGGAGGAGAAACACUAAACUGACCGUAGCUCAGAGUCUAGGGGAAACUUCAUUAUCCUACUCCUUCUCUCCAUCCUCUCUAGUCUUGAAGUUAAAGAGAGAUCCCAGAGAGUUGUG
This is a long non-coding RNA of Oncorhynchus tshawytscha (Chinook salmon), 2358 nucleotides long. The record is from Ensembl. Lineage: Eukaryota; Metazoa; Chordata; Actinopteri; Salmoniformes; Salmonidae.